AGAAAACAUUGAGGCCCCUCAUGGGGGGUCCUAGUAAUCACAUAAUCACCAUUUUUUUGCCAAUAUAAUCACAUAAUCAUUAAAUAUUUGCUUAUCUUUAGUAAUCAAAUAAUCAUAAACUAAAAAUACAGUCCUAGGUAAUCAAAUAAUCAUGAAAUAUUUGGCUUAAUAAUCAAAUAAUCAUUAAAAAAACGGCCAAGUAAUCACAUAAUCAAAAACCCCAUGAGGGCCCUCACUAUUCAA
RNAcentral lists this long non-coding RNA (243 nucleotides) under Mytilus galloprovincialis (Mediterranean mussel). Lineage: Eukaryota; Metazoa; Mollusca; Bivalvia; Mytilida; Mytilidae. The record is from RNAcentral.